AGUCGUAGUGCCGUAACCCGGGUGUCUACCAAUGUCUAGGUGAGAGGGGCGGUAGAACGCAAGGGGGGGCCGAACCUACGUACGUUGAAAAGUGCGGGGGUGGAGUGGUGGGUAGCGGAGAAAUUCCAAACGAACUUGGGGGUAGCUGGUUCUCGCCGAAAUAGCUUUAGGGGUAGCCUCGGAAUUGGGAAAGAUGGAGGUAGGGCACUGUUUGGACUAGGGGCCCAUCUCGGGUUACCGAAUUCAGAUAAACUCCGAAUGCCAUUCAUUCAUAUCCGGGAGUCAGACUGUGAGUGAUAAGAUCCAUAGUCGAAAGGGAAACAGACCAGACCACCAGCUAAGGUCCCAAAAUAUAUGUUAAGUGGAAAAGGAUGUGGGGUUGCACAGACAACUAGGAUGUUGGCUUAGAAGCAGCCACCAUUUAAAG
Molecule: ribosomal RNA, 427 nt
Filed under: Enterococcus faecium
Lineage: Bacteria; Bacillati; Bacillota; Bacilli; Lactobacillales; Enterococcaceae
Description: bacterial LSU rRNA
Rfam family: Bacterial large subunit ribosomal RNA
Source: RNAcentral